UCAGGGCAUGGUGGCGCAUGCCUGUAAUCCCAGUGGCUCAGAAGGCUGAGGCAGGAGGAUCGUGAGUUCAAAGCCAGCCUCAGCAAAAAUCGAGGUGCUAAGCAACUCAGUGAGACCCUGUCUCUA
Molecule: small RNA, 126 nt
Filed under: Marmota monax (woodchuck)
Lineage: Eukaryota; Metazoa; Chordata; Mammalia; Rodentia; Sciuridae
Source: RNAcentral